CCGAGUUUCCAACUCACAACCCAUCGUGAACAUACCGACGUUGCUUCGGCGGUCGACGCGCCCGCGCGCAGCCGCCGAAGGACCCAGACGCUCUUGUUUCCCACAGUGGUUUGCUCUGAGUGUAUCUUGAAAAUAAAUCA
This 140-nucleotide unclassified non-coding RNA is filed under the name uncultured Ascomycota. Its description in RNAcentral is "sequence contains ITS1". Lineage: Eukaryota; Fungi; Ascomycota. The record is from RNAcentral.